Molecule: ribosomal RNA, 831 nt
Filed under: uncultured Bacteroidota bacterium
Lineage: Bacteria; Pseudomonadati; Bacteroidota
Description: bacterial SSU rRNA
Rfam family: Bacterial small subunit ribosomal RNA
Source: RNAcentral
AUCAGGGUAGCAAUAUCCUGUGAGAGUGGCGACCGGGUGCGUAACACGUAUGCAACCUACCUUUUACUGGGGGAUAGCCUCUCGAAAGAGAGAUUAAUACCCCAUAACAUUUCGGAGUAGCAUUACUCUGUUCUUAAAGCUACGGCGGUAAAAGAUGGGCAUGCGCCCUAUUAGAUAGUUGGUGAGGUAACGGCUCACCAAGUCAACGAUAGGUAGGGGUUCUGAGAGGAAGAUCCCCCACACUGGUACUGAAACACGGACCAGACUCCUACGGGAGGCAGCAGUAGGGAAUAUUGGGCAAUGGACGCAAGUCUGACCCAGCCAUGCCGCGUGAAGGAUGAAGGCCCUAUGGGUUGUAAACUUCUUUUGUACGGGAAAAAACCUCACCACGUGUGGUGAGCUGAUGGUACCGUGAGAAUAAGGAUCGGCUAACUCCGUGCCAGCAGCCGCGGUAAUACGGAGGAUCCAAGCGUUGUCCGGAUUUAUUGGGUUUAAAGGGUGCGUAGGCGGAUAAUUAAGUCAGUGGUGAAAUCUUGCGGCUCAACCGUAAAAUUGCCAUUGAAACUGAUUAUCUUGAGUACAGUUGAGGUGGGCGGAAUGUAUCAUAUAGCGGUGAAAUGCUUAGAUAUGAUACAGAACACCUAUUGCGAAAGCAGCUCACUAAACUGCAACUGACGCUGAGGCACGAAAGCGUGGGGAUCAAACAGGAUUAGAUACCCUGGUAGUCCACGCCGUAAACGUUGAAUACUCGAUGUUAGCGAUAUACUGUUAGCGUCCAAGAGAAAUCGUUAAGUAUUCCACCUGGGGAGUACGACCGCAAGGUUGAAACUC